This 130-nucleotide ribosomal RNA is filed under the name Allantion sp. Its description in RNAcentral is "partial small subunit ribosomal RNA". It matches the Rfam family "Eukaryotic small subunit ribosomal RNA", at positions 1678 to 1804 of the family's 1831-position model. Lineage: Eukaryota; Cercozoa; Glissomonadida; Allapsidae. The record is from RNAcentral.
GCUACUACCGAUUGAAUGGAUUAGUGAGCUUCAGGGAUCGAUUUGCUUGUUUGGGGCAACCCAUGAUGAGUAUUGAGAACUGAAUCAAACUUGCUCAUUUAGAGGAAGUAAAAGUCGUAACAAGGUCUCC